Molecule: ribosomal RNA, 253 nt
Filed under: uncultured bacterium
Lineage: Bacteria
Description: partial 16S ribosomal RNA
Rfam family: Bacterial small subunit ribosomal RNA
Source: RNAcentral
UACGAAGGGGGCUAGCGUUGCUCGGAAUCACUGGGCGUAAAGCGCACGUAGGCGGCCUUUUAAGUCAGGGGUGAAAUCCUGGAGCUCAACUCCAGAACUGCCUUUGAUACUGAGAAGCUUGAGUUCGGGAGAGGUGAGUGGAACUGCGAGUGUAGAGGUGAAAUUCGUAGAUAUUCGCAAGAACACCAGUGGCGAAGGCGGCUCACUGGCCCGAUACUGACGCUGAGGUGCGAAAGCGUGGGGAGCAAACAGG